UGCAAGUCGAACGAGAGAAUUGCUAGCUUGCUAAUAAUUCUCUAGUGGCGCACGGGUGAGUAACACGUGAGUAACCUGCCCCCGAGAGCGGGAUAGCCCUGGGAAACUGGGAUUAAUACCGCAUAGUAUCGAAAGAUUAAAGCAGCAAUGCGCUUGGGGAUGGGCUCGCGGCCUAUUAGUUAGUUGGUGAGGUAACGGCUCACCAAGGCGAUGACGGGUAGCCGGUCUGAGAGGAUGUCCGGCCACACUGGAACUGAGACACGGUCCAGACACCUACGGGUGGCAGCAGUCGAGAAUCAUUCACAAUGGGGGAAACCCUGAUGGUGCGACGCCGCGUGGGGGAAUGAAGGUCUUCGGAUUGUAAACCCCUGUCAUGUGGGAGCAAAUUAAAAAGAUAGUACCACAAGAGGAAGAGACGGCUAACUCUGUGCCAGCAGCCGCGGUAAUACAGAGGUCUCAAGCGUUGUUCGGAAUCACUGGGCGUAAAGCGUGCGUAGGCUGUUUCGUAAGUCGUGUGUGAAAGGCGCGGGCUCAACCCGCGGACGGCACAUGAUACUGCGAGACUAGAGUAAUGGAGGGGGAACCGGAAUUCUCGGUGUAGCAGUGAAAUGCGUAGAUAUCGAGAGGAACACUCGUGGCGAAGGCGGGUUCCUGGACAUUAACUGGCGCUGAGGCACGAAGGCCAGGGGAGCGAAAGGGAUUAGAUACCCCUGUAGUCCUGGCAGUAAACGGUGCACGCUUGGUGUGCGGGG
RNAcentral lists this ribosomal RNA (752 nucleotides) under uncultured bacterium. RNAcentral describes it as "bacterial SSU rRNA". It matches the Rfam family "Bacterial small subunit ribosomal RNA", at positions 56 to 829 of the family's 1533-position model. The record is from RNAcentral.